AGUGAACGCUGGCGGUAGGCCUAACACAUGCAAGUCGAACGGCAGCACAUUAAGCGCUUGCUCUUUCGGGUGGCGAGUGGCGGACGGGUGAGGAAUACAUCGGAAUCUACUUUUUCGUGGGGGAUAACUUAGGGCAACUUACGCUAAUACCUCAUACGACUUACGGGUGAAUGCAGGGUAUCUUCGUACCUUGCCCGCUUUAAUGAGCCGUUGUCGGAUUAGCUAGUUGGUGGGUGAAAGGACCACCAAGGCGACGAUCCGUAGCUGGUCUGAGAGGAUGAUCGGCAACAUGGGAACUGAGAAACGGUCAAGACUCCAACGGGAGGCAGAAGAGGGGAAUAUUGGACAAUGGGGGCAAGCCGGAUCAAGAAAGACCGCGGGGGGAAAGAAGGCCCUGGGGUGGAAAAGUCCGUUUGUAGGGAAAGAAAAGCAGGAGGUUAAAAACCCGAUGUAGUGACGGUAACCAAAGAAUAAGCACCGGCUAACUUCGUG
This 492-nucleotide ribosomal RNA is filed under the name uncultured bacterium. RNAcentral's name for it is "partial 16S ribosomal RNA". It matches the Rfam family "Bacterial small subunit ribosomal RNA", at positions 29 to 507 of the family's 1533-position model. The record is from RNAcentral.